GACGAACGCUGGCGGCGUGCCUAAUACAUGCCAGUCGAACGAACCGCGACUAGGUGCUUGCACUUGGUCAAGGUGAGUGGCGAACGGGUGAGUAACACGUGGGUAACCUACCUCAUAGUGGGGGAUAACAGUCGGAAACGACUGCUAAUACCGCAUAGGACAUAGGAUCACAUGAUUCUGUGAGGAAAGGUGGCGCAAGCUAUCGCUAAGAGAUGGACCCGCGGUGCAUUAGCUAGUUGGUAGGGUAAAGGCCUACCAAGGCGAUGAUGCAUAGCCGACCUGAGAGGGUGAUCGGCCACAUUGGGACUGAGACACGGCCCAAACUCCUACGGGAGGCAGCAGUAGGGAAUCUUCCGCAAUGGACGCAAGUCUGACGGAGCAACGCCGCGUGAGUGAAGAAGGUCUUCGGAUCGUAAAGCUCUGUUGUUAGAGAAGAACAGCGCAUAGAGUAACUGUUAUGCGUGUGACGGUAUCUAACCAGAAAGCCACGGCUAACUACGUG
This 502-nucleotide ribosomal RNA is filed under the name uncultured bacterium. RNAcentral describes it as "partial 16S ribosomal RNA". It matches the Rfam family "Bacterial small subunit ribosomal RNA", at positions 28 to 507 of the family's 1533-position model. The record is from RNAcentral.